Molecule: small nuclear RNA, 111 nt
Organism: Erinaceus europaeus (western European hedgehog)
Lineage: Eukaryota; Metazoa; Chordata; Mammalia; Eulipotyphla; Erinaceidae
Source: Ensembl
GUGCUUGGUUCAGCAGGCAGCACAUAUACUAAAAUUGGAAUGAUACAGAGAAGAUUAGUAUGGCCCUUGCGCAAGGAUGACAGGCAAAUUCGUGAAGUGUUCCAUAUUAAG